AUCUACUGGAGUGGCGUGUGGACCGGGACGCUACAUGUGCAUUAUACCACCCAAAAAAAAUAUCCUUUCAAUUUCGUCUUCUUAAGGUGUUUAAGAAUAUUUGGAACAGAACAACUAAACAUGUUUUACUGUCUCUUCUUGAAAACAAAAAUUACGUUUUCUUUCCUCAGAUUCUCUUAAAGGCUCAAAGACCUAAGCCAUUAUUCAACCACAUUUACAAACUCGAGUUCCCAAUUUCAACCUUUCAACGGUCAAUAUCAGGCCCAAAUAUUUUUCUGCAACUAAUAAAAACAUGUUCUGUAAUUUUUGCAGCAAUUUCGAUGUUUCCCCAUUUUAAAAAGAGUGCCUUUUACUUCUUAUUCUGCUUAUAAUUAUGUCCUCCAUCCUAUUAUUCCACCAAUUCUUGUAACAUCAACUGUAUUUUGUAUUCCACAUAAAUGUCUUGUUUUUACCUUAUUAUCCACCUAAUUUUCUAUUAUUUAUUUCCAAACACCUUUUCCUUCACAUUUAGAUAACUUUAUCAAAAUCCACAUUUUUAGCAGUCUGUAGACAACCUGAGUCCACAUUGUUUCUAUACUUUUGUAAUCUAAUCUGUAUUGGCUAUAACUUCCCUUUUCAAUGCUUAACAGACUAUAAUAAACCACUACAUUUAA
Molecule: non-coding RNA, 653 nt
Organism: Poecilia reticulata (guppy)
Lineage: Eukaryota; Metazoa; Chordata; Actinopteri; Cyprinodontiformes; Poeciliidae
Source: RefSeq, a predicted model, not a curated record